This 433-nucleotide ribosomal RNA is filed under the name uncultured bacterium. Its description in RNAcentral is "partial 16S ribosomal RNA". It matches the Rfam family "Bacterial small subunit ribosomal RNA", at positions 29 to 507 of the family's 1533-position model. The record is from RNAcentral.
AACGGACGCUGGCGGCAUGCCUAACACAUGCAAGUCGAAUGAGGCCUUCGGGUCUAGUGGCGCACGGGUGCGUAACGCGUGGGAACCUGCCCUUAGGUUCGGAAUAACUCCCCGAAAGGGGUGCUAAUACCGGAUAAUGUCUUCGGACCAAAGAUUUAUCGCCUUUGGAUGGGCCCGCGUUGGAUUAGCUAGUUGGUAGGGUAAAAGCCUACCAAGGCGACGAUCCAUAGCUGGUCUGAGAGGAUGAUCAGCCACACUGGGACUGAGACACGGCCCAGACUCCUACGGGAGGCAGCAGUGGGGAAUAUUGGAAAAUGGGCGAAAGCCUGAUCCAGCAAUGCCGCGUGAGUGAUGAAGGCCUUAGGGUUGUAAAGCUCUUUUACCCGGGAUGAUAAUGACAGUACCGGGAGAAUAAGCUCCGGCUAACUCCGUG